This 641-nucleotide ribosomal RNA is filed under the name Bacillus anthracis str. 95014. RNAcentral's name for it is "bacterial SSU rRNA". It matches the Rfam family "Bacterial small subunit ribosomal RNA", at positions 1 to 621 of the family's 1533-position model. The record is from RNAcentral. Lineage: Bacteria; Bacillati; Bacillota; Bacilli; Caryophanales; Bacillaceae.
UUUAUUGGAGAGUUUGAUCCUGGCUCAGGAUGAACGCUGGCGGCGUGCCUAAUACAUGCAAGUCGAGCGAAUGGAUUAAGAGCUUGCUCUUAUGAAGUUAGCGGCGGACGGGUGAGUAACACGUGGGUAACCUGCCCAUAAGACUGGGAUAACUCCGGGAAACCGGGGCUAAUACCGGAUAACAUUUUGAACCGCAUGGUUCGAAAUUGAAAGGUGGCUUCGGCUGCCACUUAUGGAUGGACCCGCGUCGCAUUAGCUAGUUGGUGAGGUAACGGCUCACCAAGGCAAUGAUGCGUAGCCGACCUGAGAGGGUGAUCGGCCACACUGGGACUGAGACACGGCCCAGACUCCUACGGGAGGCAGCAGUAGGGAAUCUUCCGCAAUGGACGAAAGUCUGACGGAGCAACGCCGCGUGAGUGAUGAAGGCUUUCGGGUCGUAAAACUCUGUUGUUAGGGAAGAACAAGUGCUAGUUGAAUAAGCUGGCACCUUGACGGUACCUAACCAGAAAGCCACGGCUAACUACGUGCCAGCAGCCGCGGUAAUACGUAGGUGGCAAGCGUUAUCCGGAAUUAUUGGGCGUAAAGCGCGCGCAGGUGGUUUCUUAAGUCUGAUGUGAAAGCCCACGGCUCAACCGUGGAGG